UGAGGAACAUGACCUUCGGCGGGGGGAUAGCCGGCCCAACGGCCGGGUAAUACCGCGUACGACCACAUGGGGACAUCCCUGAGUGGUGAAAGCAGCAAUGCGCCGAUGGAGUGCCUCGCGGCCUAUCAGCUAGUUGGUGAGGUAACGGCUCACCAAGGCGACGACGGGUAGCUGGUCUGAGAGGAUGGCCAGCCACAUUGGGACUGAGACACGGCCCAGACUNUACGGGAG
RNAcentral lists this ribosomal RNA (231 nucleotides) under uncultured bacterium. RNAcentral describes it as "partial 16S ribosomal RNA". It matches the Rfam family "Bacterial small subunit ribosomal RNA", at positions 118 to 347 of the family's 1533-position model. The record is from RNAcentral.